AGAGUUUGAUCCUGGCUCAGGAUGAACGCUAGCGGCAGGCCUAAUACAUGCAAGUCGAGGGGCAGCGCAGGUAGCAAUACCGGGCGGCGACCGGCAAACGGGUGCGGAACACGUACGCAACCUUCCUUCAAGCGGGGAAUAGCCCAGAGAAAUUUGGAUUAAUACCCCAUAGCACUGUCCGAUGGCAUCAUUGGACAGUUAAAGAUUUAUCACUUGAAGAUGGGCGUGCGUCUGAUUAGGUAGUUGGUGAGGUAACGGCUCACCAAGCCGACGAUCAGUACCUGGCGUGAGAGCGCGACCAGUCACACGGGCACUGAGACACGGGCCCGACUCCUACGGGAGGCAGCAGUAAGGAAUAUUGGUCAAUGGACGGAAGUCUGAACCAGCCAUGCCGCGUGGAGGAUGAAGGUCCUCUGGAUUGUAAACUUCUUUUAUUUGGGACGAAAUGAUCUUUUUCUAAAGAUUUUGACGGUACCAGAUGAAUAAGCACCGGCUAACUCCGUGCCAGCAGCCGCGGUAAUACGGAGGGUGCAAGCGUUAUCCGGAUUCACUGGGUUUAAAGGGUGCGUAGGCGGACACUUAAGUCCGUGGUGAAACUCCGGGCCUAACCCGGAAAACUGCCAUGGAUACCAUUUGUCUUGAAUGCUGAGGAGGUUAGCGGAAUAUGUCAUGUACGGGUGAAAUGCA
RNAcentral lists this ribosomal RNA (687 nucleotides) under uncultured bacterium. Its description in RNAcentral is "bacterial SSU rRNA". It matches the Rfam family "Bacterial small subunit ribosomal RNA", at positions 8 to 692 of the family's 1533-position model. The record is from RNAcentral.